This 447-nucleotide ribosomal RNA is filed under the name uncultured bacterium. RNAcentral's name for it is "SSU rRNA". It matches the Rfam family "Bacterial small subunit ribosomal RNA", at positions 26 to 517 of the family's 1533-position model. The record is from RNAcentral.
AGAACGAACGCUGGCGGCAGGCUUAACACAUGCAAGUCGAACGCUCGUAGCAAUACGGGAGUGGCAGACGGGUGAGUAACGCGUGGGAACAUACCCUCCGGUUCGGAAUAGCUCAGGGAAACUUGGAUUAAUACCGGAUACGGCUGAGAGGCGAAAGAUUUAUCGCCGGAGGAUUGGCCCGCGUUCGAUUAGCUUGUUGGUGAGGUAACGGCUCACCAAGGCGAUGAUCGAUAGCUGGUCUGAGAGGAUGAUCAGCCACAUUGGGACUGAGACACAGCCCAAACUCCUACGGGAGGCAGCAGUGGGGAAUAUUGGACAAUGGGCGCAAGCCUGAUCCAGCCAUGCCGCGUGAGUGAUGACGGCCUUAGGGUUGUAAAGCUCUUUCGCUCGGGACGAUAAUGACGGUACCGAGAUAAGAAGCCCCGGCUAACUUCGUGCCAGCAGCCG